RNAcentral lists this ribosomal RNA (412 nucleotides) under uncultured bacterium. RNAcentral describes it as "bacterial SSU rRNA". It matches the Rfam family "Bacterial small subunit ribosomal RNA", at positions 359 to 767 of the family's 1533-position model. The record is from RNAcentral.
AGGAUUGGCAUGGGCGAAAGCCUGAUCAGCAAUGCCGCGUGUGUGAAGAAGGCCUUCGGGUUGUAAAGCACUUUUGUCCGGAAAGAAAUCCUUUGGGUUAAUACCUCGGGGGGAUGACGGUACCGGAAGAAUAAGCACCGGCUAACUACGUGCCAGCAGCCGCGGUAAUACGUAGGGUGCAAGCGUUAAUCGGAAUUACUGGGCGUAAAGCGUGCGCAGGCGGUUUUGUAAGACGGAUGUGAAAUCCCCGGGCUUAACCUGGGAACUGCAUUCGUGACUGCAAGGCUAGAGUAUGGCAGAGGGGGGUAGAAUUCCACGUGUAGCAGUGAAAUGCGUAGAGAUGUGGAGGAAUACCGAUGGCGAAGGCAGCCCCCUGGGCCAAUACUGACGCUCAUGCACGAAAGCGUGGGGG